GGAUGAAAGUGGACACCGUGAGAAUGGACGGCACAAAGCAGAUCAGUAUAAGUCGGCUCAAGGUGGUCCGUGGAUGAUGCAGCAUCAACCAUCAAUGAAGCAGAUAAUGACAAUUAUGGCUGAAAGAGAUGCGGCCCUUCAAGAGAGGAAUUUGGCCCUUUCCGAGAAGAAGGCUGCACUAGCGGAGCGAGACAUGGCUUAUCUACAGCGAGACGCUGCGAUUGCAGAGAGAAACAAUGCACUUUUGGAACGGGACAAUGCCAUUGCUACACUUCAGUAUCGUGAAAACUCCCUAACAAAUAACAUGUCAUGUCCACCAGGAUGCCAAAUUGCUAGAGGAGUGAAGCAUAUACAUCAUCCACAGCAGCAACAACACCCGCAUGUGCCCCACAUGAAUGAGAGUAAUUAUAAUUCCAGAGAAAUGCAUCCUUCAAACGAUGCUUGCCCGGUAUCCCCUGUUGCUUCUGAAUCAACAAAGGCACGGCAAAGCAAGCGUCCAAAGGAGGGAAAGACAGUUACAACACCAAACAAGAAGGUUUCAAAAGGUCCAAGGAAGGUCAAAAGAGAGGCUGAAGACUUGAAUAAGGUAAUGCUGGGCAAGUCACAAGAAUGGAAGGAUGGAAUUGGGAUCAUGAGUGGAGGUGAUGAUCUUAAUAAACAGUUGGUAGUAUCAAAGUCGGAUUGGAAGGGACAGGAUUUAGGAUUGAACCAGGUUGCCUUUGAUGAAUCAACCAUGCCAGCUCCAAUAUGCUCCUGCACAGGAGUUAUCAGACAAUGCUACAAAUGGGGAAAUGGUGGAUGGCAAUCUGCAUGUUGUACUACCACCAUCUCAAUGUAUCCAUUACCCGCUGUUCCCAACAAACGACACGCCCGACUCGGUGGUCGGAAAAUGAGCGGAAGUGCUUUCAACAAGCUGCUUAGCCGCCUUGCAGCUGAAGGUCACGAUCUGUCAGCUCCAGUUGAUCUUAAAAAUCACUGGGCAAAGCAUGGAACAAAUCGUUACAUCACCAUCAAGUAGUCACUAGCUUAUUAAGGAAGUAGGGCAGAGAGUAGAAAAAAUGGAGGAAAUUCCCAAAUUAGCUCAAGGCACACUGCCUCAGAAUUUCCUUCCACUUUCAGCAAAAGAAUAAAGGAUAGCAUAACAGCCAUAAAGAAAAGGAGUUAGAAGCUAUCUGUGCCUCUCUCACUUUCACCAAGUUUACUCGAGAGCAAGGAUAGAGUCAAGUGCGUCAAAGGGCAAUUUUUUUUUACUUUCCUCUUUGUUUGAAGUGACUUUCAUUAGGCCUUGCUCUGUAAAGGCUUGGCGAGAUCCUGCUUGCUUCAAAAUAACUGUAAAGGUAUGUGCUUAUUAUUAUUAAGGGUUGUACUUAAUAUCAGAAUAUGGCCGUCAUCAUUUUGUAGUCUGCCGUCUGUAUCAUCUCUCAAGAUGUAUCUGUUGUUUAUGCAUCAAUGAAACUUAAUCCAUUAGGUACGGU
Molecule: unclassified non-coding RNA, 1475 nt
Filed under: Hevea brasiliensis (rubber tree)
Lineage: Eukaryota; Viridiplantae; Streptophyta; Magnoliopsida; Malpighiales; Euphorbiaceae
Source: RNAcentral